AACCACAGCUGAUUCCAGUCUGGCUUAGACUCAGUGGCAUUACUUAUACAGUAAAAGGAGGACUUUGAGGAAACAGAAACAGAAAAAGACAAAAUCUGUCUGGAUGAGGAAGAGUAAGAGCAAGGGGCCCAUGGAGAAGAGCAGGCCCAAGGAGAGGGCAAGUCCAGACUCAGCCUGACCCUCAGUCCGGGUUCUGCCUGACGGACCUGCGUUGUGGUGGUGGUGGUGAUCAGCAGGCCUGCCCCUCUGAUCCGACUGAUGGUGGCGGGAGUCCGAAGAAUCAUCUCUGCAGGUGGAUCUGCCCAGACAGUUAUUACUGUUUCCUCUCACAGUGUCUGCUCCUUGAACCUUCGGUCGGUGAACGGGAAGGAGAGAUUUUCUUCUGAGGCGGCACAUGGUCACCUGGUUUUCUUUUCUGUCCCGGCAAAGCCUGACCCUUUGCGUUGUGGUGGUGAUCAGCAGGCCUGGGCCUCUGAUCCGACUGAUUAUGACAACUGUGAGAGUAUUCUCUGCUGGUGCUGGAUUCACAUUUUGGAACCUGGAACCUUCUUUCAGCAUUUGACCGGUGGAGACAGAUUUUCUUGGGAGGCAGACCAUCAUCAUGAUUAAUCUUCUUCUUUCUCUGCUCUUCAUUUCCGCUGGACUGGGUGGUGGUGCAGGAAAGUAGGCCGGUGUGCUGCAUGGGGCUGGUCAUUUUUCUCCCCUCGGAAUGAGAUGGAGGAUUCUGCUAGAAGGGGUUUGUAGCAGUGGGCUGGGGAUGCAUCAGUGGCCCACACACUGCUGUCAGAAGUCAGGAUGUUCUUCUGAAAGAGUUCCAUAGUUUGAAAACUGGACCUGACACUGCAAGAAAAUGAAUUCUUUCAUUAGCUCAGUUUAUCAUGUGUUUGAGAUAGUGAAGAUGAAUAAGACAUAUUGUAAGGACCUGUACAUGAACUGUAUCCACAGAAACAAAGGUACAAGUGGAAUAAAUACAGAAAAAAAUAAAUGAUAUAUUAAAAAACAUUUAACCAGAUCACAUUGAUGACUUACUAGUUGCUUUGUUGGUCCAUGCUGGCGAUGUGGCGCAUGCUGAUGAAGUUGUGCUCCAGCAGCUGAUGGGGUGUGAUCCUUGUUUUGGGAUCAAGCUUAAGCAUCGCCUUCAGCAUGUCCACAAACAUGUGGACGUCGGAAAUCUCUGCAGCUCUAUUUGCAGGGUUGCAAAUGUUGAUGGGUCGGACCUAAAAAACAAAUAUGUCAUUAGUUAGCUCCAGUAGUGAAUAAAGAAAACCUCUCUUGGACGUCUUAGAGAAAUAAGCUCAUGAUGAACUAUUCGAAAGAAGACAUACGUUCACAAUGUGGUCCAGGGAGGUGAACUUUAAACUCCUGUUCUCUAUUGGUUGCUUCCCCGUCUCCUUGCAGUACAACUCUGGUGUCUGUUCAAAAAGUGUUGUUGUUAGCAGAGUACAUCAGAUUUGCACAAAUGUAUAGAGGGAACCAAAUAUGUUGCAGCAAGUAUAUAGACAUAUUUGAAUAUAACAUGCCUUUUUAGGUCAGCACCUUGAGUUUCCAGAAGGAGUAGCUGAAGCUGACUUCUAAUUUGAAGAAUUUAGGAGUCUUAUGUCCACGGUUCAGCAUGGCUUCAGGUAGCUGACCCUGUGUAUCAAUGAUGUACUUGAUCUGAAAAUAAAACACAACUUAGAGUCCA
Molecule: non-coding RNA, 1684 nt
Organism: Paralichthys olivaceus (Japanese flounder)
Lineage: Eukaryota; Metazoa; Chordata; Actinopteri; Pleuronectiformes; Paralichthyidae
Source: RefSeq, a predicted model, not a curated record